This 253-nucleotide ribosomal RNA is filed under the name uncultured bacterium. Its description in RNAcentral is "partial 16S ribosomal RNA". It matches the Rfam family "Bacterial small subunit ribosomal RNA", at positions 524 to 776 of the family's 1533-position model. The record is from RNAcentral.
UACGAAGGGUGCAAACGUUGCUCGGAAUUAUUGGGCGUAAAGCGCGCGUAGGCGGCUUGGCAAGUCGGAUGUGAAAUCCCUCGGCUCAACCAAGGAAGUGCAUCCGAAACUGCUGAGCUUGAGUACUUAAGAGGAUCGCGGAAUUCCCGGUGUAGAGGUGAAAUUCGUAGAUAUCAGGAGGAACACCGGUGGCGAAGGCGGUUCUCUGGGCCUGUACUGACGCUGAGGAACGAAAGCGUGGGGAGCGAACAGG